RNAcentral lists this ribosomal RNA (1754 nucleotides) under Salmonella enterica subsp. enterica serovar Bovismorbificans. RNAcentral describes it as "partial 23S ribosomal RNA". It matches the Rfam family "Bacterial large subunit ribosomal RNA", at positions 1207 to 2925 of the family's 2925-position model. Lineage: Bacteria; Pseudomonadati; Pseudomonadota; Gammaproteobacteria; Enterobacterales; Enterobacteriaceae. The record is from RNAcentral.
AGCGACGUUUAUGCGUUGUUGGGUAGGGGAGCGUUCUGUAAGCCUGCGAAGGUGGCCUGUGAGGGUUGCUGGAGGUAUCAGAAGUGCGAAUGCUGACAUAAGUAACGAUAAAGCGGGUGAAAAGCCCGCUCGCCGGAAGACCAAGGGUUCCUGUCCAACGUUAAUCGGGGCAGGGUGAGUCGACCCCUAAGGCGAGGCCGAAAGGCGUAGUCGAUGGGAAACGGGUUAAUAUUCCCGUACUUGGUGUUACUGCGAAGGGGGGACGGAGAAGGCUAUGUUGGCCGGGCGACGGUUGUCCCGGUUUAAGCGUGUAGGUGUGUGUUCCAGGUAAAUCCGGUUCACUUUAACACUGAGGCGUGAUGACGAGGCACUACGGUGCUGAAGCAACAAAUGCCCUGCUUCCAGGAAAAGCCUCUAAGCAUCAGGUAACACGAAAUCGUACCCCAAACCGACACAGGUGGUCAGGUAGAGAAUACCAAGGCGCUUGAGAGAACUCGGGUGAAGGAACUAGGCAAAAUGGUGCCGUAACUUCGGGAGAAGGCACGCUGACACGUAGGUGAAGUGAUUUACUCAUGGAGCUGAAGUCAGUCGAAGAUACCAGCUGGCUGCAACUGUUUAUUAAAAACACAGCACUGUGCAAACACGAAAGUGGACGUAUACGGUGUGACGCCUGCCCGGUGCCGGAAGGUUAAUUGAUGGGGUCAGCGCAAGCGAAGCUCCUGAUCGAAGCCCCGGUAAACGGCGGCCGUAACUAUAACGGUCCUAAGGUAGCGAAAUUCCUUGUCGGGUAAGUUCCGACCUGCACGAAUGGCGUAAUGAUGGCCAGGCUGUCUCCACCCGAGACUCAGUGAAAUUGAACUCGCUGUGAAGAUGCAGUGUACCCGCGGCAAGACGGAAAGACCCCGUGAACCUUUACUAUAGCUUGACACUGAACAUUGAGCCUUGAUGUGUAGGAUAGGUGGGAGGCUUUGAAGUGUGGACGCCAGUCUGCAUGGAGCCGACCUUGAAAUACCACCCUUUAAUGUUUGAUGUUCUAACGUGGACCCGUUACCCGGGUUGCGGACAGUGUCUGGUGGGUAGUUUGACUGGGGCGGUCUCCUCCUAAAGAGUAACGGAGGAGCACGAAGGUUGGCUAAUCCUGGUCGGACAUCAGGAGGUUAGUGCAAUGGCAUAAGCCAGCUUGACUGCGAGCGUGACGGCGCGAGCAGGUGCGAAAGCAGGUCAUAGUGAUCCGGUGGUUCUGAAUGGAAGGGCCAUCGCUCAACGGAUAAAAGGUACUCCGGGGAUAACAGGCUGAUACCGCCCAAGAGUUCAUAUCGACGGCGGUGUUUGGCACCUCGAUGUCGGCUCAUCACAUCCUGGGGCUGAAGUAGGUCCCAAGGGUAUGGCUGUUCGCCAUUUAAAGUGGUACGCGAGCUGGGUUUAGAACGUCGUGAGACAGUUCGGUCCCUAUCUGCCGUGGGCGCUGGAGAACUGAGGGGGGCUGCUCCUAGUACGAGAGGACCGGAGUGGACGCAUCACUGGUGUUCGGGUUGUCAUGCCAAUGGCACUGCCCGGUAGCUAAAUGCGGAAGAGAUAAGUGCUGAAAGCAUCUAAGCACGAAACUUGCCCCGAGAUGAGUUCUCCCUGAGACUUAGAGUCUCCUGAAGGAACGUUGAAGACGACGACGUUGAUAGGCCGGGUGUGUAAGCGCAGCGAUGCGUUGAGCUAACCGGUACUAAUGAACCGUGAGGCUUAACCUUACAACGCCGAAG